GUGGGUAUGGCGGAACUGGCAGACGCUCAGGCCUCAGAAACCUGUGGGCAACCGUGUGAGUUCAAAUCUCACUAUCCACACCA
This 83-nucleotide transfer RNA is filed under the name Candidatus Caballimonas caccae. Its description in RNAcentral is "tRNA-Leu". It matches the Rfam family "tRNA". Rfam says of the family: Transfer RNA (tRNA) molecules are approximately 80 nucleotides in length. Their secondary structure includes four short double-helical elements and three loops (D, anti-codon, and T loops). Lineage: Bacteria; Bacillati; Bacillota; Clostridia; Christensenellales; Christensenellaceae. The record is from RNAcentral.